GACGAACGCUGGCGGCGCGCUUAACACAUGCAAGUCGAACGGAAAGGCCUGCUUUCCCUUGUGGAUUGCGGGUACUCGAGUGGCGAACGGGUGAGUAACACGUGAGUGAUCUGCCCCCAACUUGGGUAUAAGCCUGGGAAACUGGGUCUAAUUCCCGAUAGGACUGCAGGGUGGUGCCUGUGGUGGAAAACGAUUUUCUAGUGGUUGGGGAUGAGCUCGCGGCCUAUCAGCUUGUUGGUGGGGUAAUGGCCUACCAAGGCGGCGACGGGUAGCCGGCCUGAGAGGGUGGACGGCCACAUUGGGACUGGGAUACGGCCCAGACGCCUACGGGAGGCAGCAGUGGGGAAUAUUACACAAUGGGCGGAAGCCUGAUGCAGCGACGCAGCGUGGGGGAUGACGGCCUUCGGGUUGUAAACUCCUUUCGACCGCGAGGAAGCCACCUGGUUGGAAGGGUGGUGACGGUAGUGGUAGAAGAAGCACCGGCUAACUACGUG
This 494-nucleotide ribosomal RNA is filed under the name uncultured bacterium. Its description in RNAcentral is "partial 16S ribosomal RNA". It matches the Rfam family "Bacterial small subunit ribosomal RNA", at positions 28 to 507 of the family's 1533-position model. The record is from RNAcentral.